Molecule: non-coding RNA, 633 nt
Organism: Procambarus clarkii (red swamp crayfish)
Lineage: Eukaryota; Metazoa; Arthropoda; Malacostraca; Decapoda; Cambaridae
Source: RefSeq, a predicted model, not a curated record
AUAGGACCCCAGAAGGUUGCCAGAUAGCUCCGAGGCGACACGGGUGAGAGGCGCGUGUCUCCCCUCCUGCUCAACACCAGGGAUCAGCUGUGUGUUGCUGGGAGGACAACACAACAACAACAACGUACUUCGUUGUUCAAGAUUCGCUACUCAGAACAAUAAGUUCCAGUAGCACGGGCUAUAGUGAGCCCCUAGGAAAGAGAACGUACUUCCAUUGGCGCUCGUUUUUAUACUUACACAAGGCUAAUACUCUGGUAGCACAGGAGAGACGAAGACAGUAAGAUUGUUGCUAUGGCUGGCCCAACACGUCAGCAAGUUCUCCAACUUUAUAGAGCACUGCUUACUUAUGGCAGGACAUUGGAAUUCACUGAUCAAGAAUACUUCCAUAGACGAAUCAGGCAAGAAUUCCAACAAAACAAAGAAAUUACCUCUGCUAAAGAAAGGGCAUUCUAUUUUGAAAAAGGUUUAAGUUUUCUUACAAAGCAACGGCUUAUUUAGGCUUCUUUAUUCUGUCUAUAUAUUUACUGUACAGUAAUAUACUCAUACUGCAUUUUAAAACUAAAAAUAUAAAUUCUGGGUUAUGAUUUGGAAACCUGAACUAGUGUGAAAAGAUCAAAGUAAAGUGAUGAAAUA